CUGUCUAUGUGUGUGUGUGUGUGCUUUUGUGUAUUUACACAUACAUAUUUAUAUACUAUGGCUGCUUAUUAACUAAGUUAGUAGCUAACGGUUAAUACAUUAACAGCACACAUACUGAUGCAGACACACAUUGUGUGUGUGUGUGUGUGCAAGUCAUUUUAAUUGCAUCACAUGCAAUCAACACAAUAGGGUGUGAUUGUUUGAUCGUUGUUGGCAAAUUGUUCGGCACAACUUUCUAUGUACGAAAGGUUUUCCCCAUGUUGGGUGGGGCCAUGGGGCUAGGUAGUCAAAUGCUGAAGUAUUUUGUAGUCGUGUCUACUCAAGCCAAAGAGAUUUUUAGCGAAUUUGAAUACUCUAAUAUA
This is a long non-coding RNA of Drosophila navojoa, 362 nucleotides long. NCBI's taxonomy places the organism in Eukaryota, Metazoa, Arthropoda, Insecta, Diptera, Drosophilidae. The record is from RefSeq and is a predicted model, not a curated record.